RNAcentral lists this ribosomal RNA (450 nucleotides) under uncultured bacterium. Its description in RNAcentral is "partial 16S ribosomal RNA". It matches the Rfam family "Bacterial small subunit ribosomal RNA", at positions 354 to 796 of the family's 1533-position model. The record is from RNAcentral.
GUGGGGAAUCUUCCGCAAUGGACGAAAGUCUGACGGAGCAACGCCGCGUGAGUGAAGAAGGUUUUCGGAUCGUAAAGCUCUUUCGUUAGGGACGAACGUGCUCUUUGUGAAUAAUGAGGAGUAAUGACGGUACCUAAAUAAGAAGCCACGGCUAACUACGUGCCAGCAGCCGCGGUAAUACGUAGGUGGCAAGCGUUGUCCGGAAUUAUUGGGCGUAAAGCGCGCGCAGGCGGGAUAUCAAGUCUGUCUUAAAAGUGCGAGGCUCAACCUCGUGAGGGGACAGAAACUGGUAUUCUUGAGUGUCGGAGAAGAAAGUGGAAUUCCAAGUGUAGCGGUGAAAUGCGUAGAGAUUUGGAAGAACACCAGUGGCGAAGGCGACUUUCUGGACGAUGUCUGACGCUGAGGCGCGAAAGCUAGGGGAGCGAACGGGAUUAGAUAUCCCGGUAGUCC